AGCCAUAUGAUGAGCACAGAGCAAACUAUUCUUUCGCCUUUUACUAAAGAAUAUCGUGUGUUCAUUAUGGAAAGUGGCAUACGUUAAUUUUUGAAAGGUCAUCCUUUUAUUAGGAGGA
This is a small nuclear RNA of Malania oleifera, 118 nucleotides long. RefSeq annotates it as U5 spliceosomal RNA. Lineage: Eukaryota; Viridiplantae; Streptophyta; Magnoliopsida; Santalales; Ximeniaceae. The record is from RefSeq and is a predicted model, not a curated record. The transcript has a single exon.